ACAGUGAAUCUCGUACGAGUUUGUGCUGAAAUAUUCUCACUGCAGAUCACGUGUGAAACUCGUCUGAAUCACCUGAAACAUCAUGUGUACCAUCACAUGCAUGCCUGGAAGCUGGUCUGAAUGGAAGGAAGUUGAUCAUCCGGUGAAGAAAAUCUGCGAGUUGUUAAAACAUGAAGCUGAGAGUAAAAGCAAGAAGUUUCCAGUUUAUGUCCCCCUGAAUUACCGAAGCCAGACUGUUGCAGGAACAAACUAUGAAAUUAAGGUGUUUGUGGGAAAUGACUCGUGUCUUUUUCUGAGAGUUUUCCAGGGACUCGGUCCUGAUCCUAAACCAGUGCUUCAGAAAACUACAGUGCUUUCACUUCCCAGCAUCAUUACCCAUUAAAAUCCCUGAAUAAUGAUCUGUGUGUAAUGAAAUAUUCUCUGUCAUUGCCUCAUGCUUGUGGUAAAGAGACAACUUAAAGACAAUAAUAAACUUCUUCAAAUGAUCAGUACAAA
Ictalurus punctatus (channel catfish) is the source of this 495-nucleotide long non-coding RNA. RefSeq lists it as uncharacterized. The transcript has 3 exons. The record is from RefSeq and is a predicted model, not a curated record. Lineage: Eukaryota; Metazoa; Chordata; Actinopteri; Siluriformes; Ictaluridae.